Molecule: ribosomal RNA, 278 nt
Filed under: Vibrio sp. LM4005
Lineage: Bacteria; Pseudomonadati; Pseudomonadota; Gammaproteobacteria; Vibrionales; Vibrionaceae
Description: partial 16S ribosomal RNA
Rfam family: Bacterial small subunit ribosomal RNA
Source: RNAcentral
GCUAAUACCGCAUGAUGCCUACGGGCCAAAGAGGGGGACCUUCGGGCCUCUCGCGUCAGGAUAUGCCUAGGUGGGAUUAGCUAGUUGGUGAGGUAAGGGCUCACCAAGGCAACGAUCCCUAGCUGGUCUGAGAGGAUGAUCAGCCACACUGGAACUGAGACACGGUCCAGACUCCUACGGGAGGCAGCAGUGGGGAAUAUUGCACAAUGGGCGCAAGCCUGAUGCAGCCAUGCCGCGUGUGUGAAGAAGGCCUUCGGGUUGUAAAGCACUUUCAGUCG